UACUACUCCCUCCGGCCUCGCACCAAAGGGACCGUCUAGGUACCGUAGGCGCCGAGGACCCGUCUUUCUUCUUACCUCUGCUCCCUCUCUUCUUCCUUUUUUCCUCCCCUCCACGCCACAGGACCCGUCCUCGAGCGUCCUCGGCUCGCUGCCUCCUGCACGCGACGUCUGCCUCCCUAAGUCUCGGCCGGCCACCCCGCUGUGGUUGGUCCGGUCCCCACCGCAUGCUUACUCCUGAAGUAGUGGUAGUCUAGUAUAUACAACUUCGUACACUUUCACCGUCAUAGAAAACUCCCUAAUUACGGUGUGCUAGAAUUAUAAAUACAAUGUUGUCGUCGUUUACGCCUUCUUUCAUCGACCCCUCGUAUGACGGGACCCUACAUUUGUGGUGGAGGAGGACUUAUAUACUGGACGAACCCACUGCGUAUGUCACAAAGAACCUACCUUCUGUCACUUUGAGUGUUAGAUGUCUUCCUUGGGUAGUUCGUCGUCAUGCUCCACCAAUUUCGUUCUUGCCGUGGGGGUUUACUGAGGUUAUAGCCAAGAGUACAGUACCUCAUACCAUCUGUAAGUUCCUACUGUUCGAAAAGGAAAUAGUUCCAAAGAUAGGAUACUUCAGUUCGUAGUAUUUGUCUGGCGACGAAAGCGGGUCGGAGUUCCCGCGUUAGUUAGUUUCUCUACAACUAUAAGAAAAGUACACCUUCUUCAUACUCGUCAAUUUACAACCUAGUCUCCUCUUCGUCUCCCGAGAGUCCCUCCAGUUUCUUUGACACAAUGUGUCCUUCGAAGAGCUGUCGUCAUAGCCAAAGUAGCCCUUCGAACGGAAACCUAAACUCCCUGGAAGCCACGAACUCCGAUGAUUUCCGGGACCGGUAGGUAAUCAUCUGAUAACCCUAACAGACUUCUGCUACCACGCUCUAAAGCUCAGGGUCACGCCUAGUGAGUGAGUCAUACCGUACUUUGUGUACUCCCGCAAGUGUUUGUAGAUGUUGUACCCCUUCACCUCGGGCGGCCAAGAUCCCGUGUCGCGGACUAGCCGACGUGACGUCAUCAUGUACGUACCCUCGUCAUGGUUUACGAGGUCUCCAAGCAUCGAUCUGGAGUAUAUACCACACACACACAUGUAUAUAUGUAACCACAUUUGUACGUUCUUUGUUCGGCUGCUACGCGGGGUACACCACAGCCCAGUUAGUUAUCAAAUACUAGCACGAGCACUAAACUGACAUCAGACAACUUUCCGUUACUAACAACACGUACGCACGAUACGUAUACUAAGCAUAAAC
Molecule: ribosomal RNA, 1283 nt
Filed under: Triticum aestivum (bread wheat)
Lineage: Eukaryota; Viridiplantae; Streptophyta; Magnoliopsida; Poales; Poaceae
Description: partial small subunit ribosomal RNA
Source: RNAcentral